CUGCUCAGGACGAACGCUGCGGCGUGCUUAACACAUGCAAGUCGAGCGGUAAGGCUCUUUCGGGAGUACACGAGCGGCGAACGGGUGAGUAACACGUGAGCAAUCUGCCCUUCACUUUGGGAUAACCUCCGGAAACGGUGGCUAAUACCGAAUAUGACCACUUCACGCAUGUGAUGGUGGUGGAAAGUUCUGGCGGUGGAGGAUGAGCUCGCGGCCUAUCAGCUUGUUGGUGAGGUAAUGGCUCACCAAGGCUUCGACGGGUAGCCGGCCUGAGAGGGUGACCGGCCACACUGGGACUGAGACACGGCCCAGACUCCUACGGGAGGCAGCAGUGGGGAAUAUUGGACAAUGGGCGAAAGCCUGAUCCAGCAACGCCGCGUGAGGGAUGACGGCCUUCGGGUUGUAAACCUCUUUCAGCGGGGACGAAGCGAAAGUGACGGUACCCGCAGAAGAAGGACCGGCCAACUACGUGCCAGCAGCCGCGGUAAUACGUAGGGUCCGAGCGUUGUCCGGAAUUAUUGGGCGUAAAGGGCUCGUAGGCGGUUUGUCGCGUCGGGAGUGAAAACACGGGGCUUAACCCCGUGCCUGCUUCCGAUACGGGCAGACUAGAGGUAUGCAGGGGAGAACGGAAUUCCUGGUGUAGCGGUGAAAUGCGCAGAUAUCAGGAGGAACACCGGUGGCGAAGGCGGUUCUCUGAGCAUUACCUGACGCUGAGGAGCGAAAGUGUGGGGAGCGAACAGGAUUAGAUACCCUGGUAGUCCACACCGUAAACGUUGGGCGCUAGGUGUGGGGCUCAUUCCACGAGUUCCGUGCCGCAGCUAACGCAUUAAGCGCCCCGCCUGGGGAGUACGGCCGCAAGGCUAAAACUCAAAUGAAUUGACGG
This 883-nucleotide ribosomal RNA is filed under the name uncultured bacterium. RNAcentral describes it as "bacterial SSU rRNA". It matches the Rfam family "Bacterial small subunit ribosomal RNA", at positions 20 to 916 of the family's 1533-position model. The record is from RNAcentral.